RNAcentral lists this ribosomal RNA (468 nucleotides) under uncultured bacterium. RNAcentral describes it as "partial 16S ribosomal RNA". It matches the Rfam family "Bacterial small subunit ribosomal RNA", at positions 28 to 507 of the family's 1533-position model. The record is from RNAcentral.
GACGAACACUGGCGGCGUGCUUAACACAUGCAAGUCGAACGGAAAGGCCCUGCUUUCGUGCGGUGCUCGAGUGGCGAACGGGGGAGUAACACGUGAGUAACCUGACCUUGACUUUGGGAUAACUUCACGAAACUGGGGCUACUACCGGAUAGCAUCCCCUGCUGCAUGGAGGGGGUUGGAACGUCUCGGCUGUUGGGGAUGGAUGCGCGGCUAAUCAGCUUGCUGGUGGGGGAGGGGUUGACCAAGGCUUUGACGGGUAGGCGGCCUGGGAGGGGGACCGGCCUCCAGGCGCCUGCGGGAGGCACCAGUCUCCUACGGUAGGCAGCAGUGGCGAACAUUGCACAGUGGGCCGAAGCGUGAUGCAGCAGCGCCGCGGUCGUGAUGCCGGCCUGCGGGUUGUAAACCGCUGUCGCCUGUGACGAAGCGUGAGUGACGGUAACCGGUAAAGAAGCACCGGCUAACUACGUG